UGAGAUGAUAUGAUUAAGUGGUAGAAAUGUUUAAUUACAGGAAGAGCUAAAGAUCCCUAUGAUGAUGGGCUCCCUACCCCACAAAGAAAAUUUGAAAAGGAGACAGAAAAGGGUACACAUUUUUAAAAAUUGGGGGCCUACCUCUAUGCCCAUGUGAACCACUUGAAAUUAAGAUAGAAAGGAAUCAAAUCGCAUAGGCCAAAUUCUCACUGUACAUAAUCUGAAUAUAAUAAAGAAGUGGUCCCAACUUUACCCCCGAGUUGAAGUUUCCACUCAGGCUCGCAGAAGACGUAAAGAAGGUGGAAACCUGUGGUGGCGGGCCCAUCCAUUUAAUUUUCUAGAAGUACUGCUAUUAUGGGUUGAAAGCAACCCGUUCGCAUUAGUCUAAUAUUUAUAAAUAAUGAUGUUCUCCUUGUCUGGGGCCUGACGCCUAAGUGUGGUGGGGGAGAUGUAGAUAACUAGAGAUAUAUAUUAGACAAUUUAGACAGCCUCCUCCUCCCCCAGUCAGAGGGUUGGUGGAAAGUUGAAACACAGGGGAAGGGGAAAUGGGUGUGUUGAAGCUUUACGUGGUGAUGGUGUUGCUGUUGGUGAGUAAUCUCUCCACGCAGAAAACGAGAGCUGUGGAAGGCAGGCUGCUUUCAUCCUCCUCCUCCUCCUCACGACAGAGGUACUGGAAGAUUUUCACAACCCUGGGGAUGGUAUGCAAGUGCUGUGAUGGCGUGGGAGGCGAAUGCACAAGUACAUGGAAUAUGUCUUGCUCUAACCUCCAAUGUUCACCCUGGAAAUCACACUGAUUUCUCUGUACAGUUUCUAGUUUUCCUUGCUGUUGUACAUGUAUCUUGGGAUUUAUACCAAUUAAUAUGAGAUGCAGCAGGUUGUCGCCCGUA
Vitis vinifera (wine grape) is the source of this 887-nucleotide long non-coding RNA. RefSeq lists it as uncharacterized. Lineage: Eukaryota; Viridiplantae; Streptophyta; Magnoliopsida; Vitales; Vitaceae. The transcript is spliced from 2 exons. The record is from RefSeq and is a predicted model, not a curated record.